Molecule: ribosomal RNA, 443 nt
Filed under: uncultured bacterium
Lineage: Bacteria
Description: partial 16S ribosomal RNA
Rfam family: Bacterial small subunit ribosomal RNA
Source: RNAcentral
CCUACGGGAGGCUGCAGUGGGGAAUAUUGGGCAAUGGGCGCAAGCCUGACCCAGCAACGCCGCGUGAAGGAAGAAGGCUUUCGGGUUGUUAACUUCUUUUGUCAGGGACGAAGAAAGUGACGGUACUUGACGAAUAAGCCACGGCUAACUACGUGCCAGGAGCCGCGGCAAUACGUAGGUGGCAAGCGUUAUUCGGAUUUACUGGGUGUAAAGGGCGUGUAGGCGGGGAAGCAAGUGAGAUGUGAAAACCACGGGCUCAACCUGUGGCCUGCAUUUGAAACUGUUUUUCUUGAGUGCUGGAGAGGCAAUCGGAAUUCCGUGUGUAGCGGUGAAAUGCGUAGAUAUACGGAGGAACACCAGUGGCGAAGGCGGAUUGCUGGACAGUAACUGACGCUGAGGCGCGAAAGCGUGGGGAGCAAACAGGAUUAGAUACCCUAGUAGUC